Molecule: ribosomal RNA, 423 nt
Filed under: uncultured bacterium
Lineage: Bacteria
Description: bacterial SSU rRNA
Rfam family: Bacterial small subunit ribosomal RNA
Source: RNAcentral
GGAAUAUUGGACAAUGGGCGCAAGCCUGAUCCAGCCAUGCCGCGUGUGUGAAGAAGGCCUUCGGGUUGUAAAGCACUUUUGUACGGGAAGAAACACGGCCGGUGAAUACCAGGCCGGACUGACGGUAACGUAAGAAUAAGCACCGGCUAACUUCGUGCCAGCCGCCGCGGUAAUACGAAGGGUGCAAGCGUUACUCGGAAUUCCUGGGCGUAAAGCGUGCGCAGGUGGUGCGUUAAGUCCGAUGUGAAAGCCCUGGGCUCAACCUGGGAAUGGCAUUGGAUACUGGCGCGCUCGAGUACGGUAGAGGGUGGCGGAAUUCCCGGUGUAGCAGUGAAAUGCGUAGAGAUCGGGAGGAACAUCCGUGGCGAAGGCGGCCACCUGGACCAGUACUGACACUGAGGCACGAAAGCGUGGGGAGCAAAC